This 253-nucleotide ribosomal RNA is filed under the name uncultured bacterium. RNAcentral's name for it is "partial 16S ribosomal RNA". It matches the Rfam family "Bacterial small subunit ribosomal RNA", at positions 524 to 776 of the family's 1533-position model. The record is from RNAcentral.
GACGUAGGUGGCGAGCGUUGUUCGGAAUCACUGGGCAUAAAGCGCACGUAGGCGGCCAAGUCAGUCAGGUGUGAAAUACCCCGGCUCAACCGAGGAACUGCGCCUGAUACUGCUUGGCUUGAGGUCCGGAGGGGAGAGUGGAAUUCCCAGUGUAGAGGUGAAAUUCGUAGAUAUUGGGAAGAACACCGGUGGCGAAGGCGGCUCUCUGGACCGUAACUGACGCUGAGGCGCGAAAGCGUGGGGAGCAAACAGG